This 429-nucleotide ribosomal RNA is filed under the name uncultured bacterium. Its description in RNAcentral is "bacterial SSU rRNA". It matches the Rfam family "Bacterial small subunit ribosomal RNA", at positions 355 to 775 of the family's 1533-position model. The record is from RNAcentral.
UGGGGAAUAUUGCGCAAUGGGGGAAACCCUGACGCAGCGACGCCGUGUGAGGGAAGAAGGCCUUCGGGUCGUAAACCUCUGUCGGGAGGGAAGAACCGCCGGUUUCCGAACAGGGAGCCGGUCUGACGGUACCUCCGAAGGAAGCGCCGGCUAACUCCGUGCCAGCAGCCGCGGUAAUACGGAGGGCGCGAGCGUUAAUCGGAAUCACUGGGCGUAAAGCGCGCGUAGGCGGCUGGAUAAGUCGGGCGUGAAAGCCCUCGGCCCAACCGAGGAACUGCGUUCGAUACUGUUAGGCUUGAGUCCUGGAGAGGGUGGCGGAAUUCCGGGUGUAGGAGUGAAAUCCGUAGAUAUCCGGAGGAACACCGGUGGCGAAGGCGGCCACCUGGACAGGUACUGACACUGAGGGGCGAAAGCGUGGGGAGCAAACAG